CAAUAGCGUAUAUUAAAGUUGUUGCAGUUAGAACGCUCGUAGUCGGAUUUCGGGGCAGUCCGACCGGUCUGCCGAUGGGUAUGCACUGGCCGGAGUGUCCUUUUUGCCGGAGACCGUGCCUACUCUUAACUGAGCGGGGGCGGGAGACGGCACUUUUACUUUGAAAAAAUCAGAGUGUUUCAAGCAGGCAGCUCGCUCUUGCAUGGAUUAGCAUGGGAUAAUGAAAUAGGACUUUGGUGCUAUUUUGUUGGUUUCGAACACCGAAGUAAUGAUGAGAAGGGACAGUCAGGGGCACUCGUAUUCCGCAGAGAGAGGUGAAAUUCUCAGACCCGCGGAAGACGAACCACUGCGAAAGCAUUUGCCAGGGAUGUUUUCACUG
RNAcentral lists this ribosomal RNA (379 nucleotides) under uncultured eukaryote. RNAcentral's name for it is "partial 18S ribosomal RNA". It matches the Rfam family "Eukaryotic small subunit ribosomal RNA", at positions 592 to 975 of the family's 1831-position model. The record is from RNAcentral.